GACGAACCGUCCAAACGUUGUUCGGAAUCACUGGGCUUAAAGGGCGCGUAGGCGGGUGAGCAAGUCUAUGGUGAAAUCCUCCGGCUUAACCGGAGAACUGCCGUGGAUACUGCCCAUCUCGAGGAGGAUAGGGGCAUCUGGAACUAGCGGUGGAGCGGUGAAAUGCGUUGAUAUCGCUAGGAACUCCGGUGGCGAAGGCGAGAUGCUGGAUCCUUUCUGACGCUGAGGCGCGAAAGCCAGGGGAGCGAACGGG
This 253-nucleotide ribosomal RNA is filed under the name uncultured bacterium. RNAcentral describes it as "partial 16S ribosomal RNA". It matches the Rfam family "Bacterial small subunit ribosomal RNA", at positions 524 to 776 of the family's 1533-position model. The record is from RNAcentral.